RNAcentral lists this ribosomal RNA (446 nucleotides) under uncultured bacterium. Its description in RNAcentral is "bacterial SSU rRNA". It matches the Rfam family "Bacterial small subunit ribosomal RNA", at positions 28 to 506 of the family's 1533-position model. The record is from RNAcentral.
GAUGAACGCUGGCGGCGUGCCUAAUACAUGCAAGUCGAGCGGCAGCAUGGUCUUCGGACUGAUGGCGAGCGGCGGACGGCAGAGUAACGCGUAGGAACGUACCCCAAAGUGAGGGAUAAGCACCGGAAACGGUGUCUAAUACCGCAUGUGAUCUUCGGAUUAAAGCCUUCGGGCGCUAUGGGAGCGGCCUGCGUAUGAUUAGUUAGUUGGUGAGGUAAUGGCUUACCAAGACGACGAUCAUUAGCUGGUCUGAGAGGAUGAUCAGCCUGACUGGAACUGAGACACGGUCCAGACUCCUACGGGAGGCAGCAGUAGGGAAUUUCCGCAAUGGGCGAAAGCCUGACGGAGCAACGCCGCGUGCAGGAGGAAGGCCCUCGGGGUCGUAAACUGCUUUUCUCUGUGACGAUUAUGACGGUAGCAGAGGAAUAAGGGACUGCUAACUACGU